This 242-nucleotide ribosomal RNA is filed under the name uncultured fungus. RNAcentral's name for it is "partial 18S ribosomal RNA". The stretch from base 77 to 242 matches the Rfam family "Eukaryotic small subunit ribosomal RNA", at positions 738 to 905 of the family's 1831-position model. The record is from RNAcentral. Lineage: Eukaryota; Fungi.
GUCCGCCUCACCGCGUGCACUGGUCCGACCGGGUCUUUCCUUCUGAGGAGCCGCAUGCCCUUCACUGGGUCUGUCGGGGAAUCAGGACUUUUACUUUGAAAAAAUUAGAGUGUUCAAAGCAGGCCUAUGCUCGAAUACAUUAGCAUGGAAUAAUAGAAUAGGACGUGUGGUUCUAUUUUGUUGGUUUCUAGGACCGCCGUAAUGAUUAAUAGGGAUAGUUGGGGGUAUCAGUAUUCAAUUGU